RNAcentral lists this ribosomal RNA (359 nucleotides) under uncultured eukaryote. RNAcentral's name for it is "SSU rRNA". It matches the Rfam family "Eukaryotic small subunit ribosomal RNA", at positions 587 to 972 of the family's 1831-position model. The record is from RNAcentral.
AGCUCCAAUAGCGUAUAUUAAAGUUGUUGCAGUUAAAAAGCUCGUAGUUGAAUUUCUGUUCGUAACUCGCUCGAAGCCAUUCGGCGACGUGUGAGUGCGAGCAUUCUUCUACUCCCGGGGGCAACUCCGUGUGGUAGAGCCUUUACUUUGAGAAAAUUAGAGUGUUUCAAGCAAGCGAGUGCUUUGAAUACUACAGCAUGGAAUAAUACAAUAGGACUUCGGGUCUAUUUGUUGGUUUCAGGCCUGAAGUAAUGAUUAAUAGGGACAGUUGGGGGCAUUCGUAUUGGACAGUCAGCGGUGAAAUGCGAUGAUUUGUUCAAGACGAACUACUGCGAAAGCAUUUGCCAAAGAUGUUUUCA